RNAcentral lists this ribosomal RNA (465 nucleotides) under uncultured Alteromonas sp. RNAcentral's name for it is "bacterial SSU rRNA". It matches the Rfam family "Bacterial small subunit ribosomal RNA", at positions 338 to 795 of the family's 1533-position model. Lineage: Bacteria; Pseudomonadati; Pseudomonadota; Gammaproteobacteria; Alteromonadales; Alteromonadaceae. The record is from RNAcentral.
CCUACGGGAGGCAGCAGUGGGGAAUAUUGCACAAUGGGGGAAACCCUGAUGCAGCCAUGCCGCGUGUGUGAAGAAGGCCUUCGGGUUGUAAAGCACUUUCAGUUGUGAGGAAAAGUUAGUAGUUAAUACCUGCUAGCCGUGACGUUAACAACAGAAGAAGCACCGGCUAACUCCGUGCCAGCAGCCGCGGUAAUACGGAGGGUGCGAGCGUUACUCGGAAUUACUGGGCGUAAAGCGCACGCAGGCGGUUUGUUAAGCUAGAUGUGAAAGCCCCGGGCUCAACCUGGGAUGGUCAUUUAGAACUGGCAGACUAGAGUCUUGGAGAGGGGAGUGGAAUUCCAGGUGUAGCGGUGAAAUGCGUAGAUAUCUGGAGGAACAUCAGUGGCGAAGGCGACUCCCUGGCCAAAGACUGACGCUCAUGUGCGAAAGUGUGGGUAGCGAACAGGAUUAGAUACCCGUGUAGUC